RNAcentral lists this ribosomal RNA (589 nucleotides) under uncultured bacterium. Its description in RNAcentral is "bacterial SSU rRNA". It matches the Rfam family "Bacterial small subunit ribosomal RNA", at positions 337 to 917 of the family's 1533-position model. The record is from RNAcentral.
UCCUACGGGAGGCAGCAGUAGGGAAUCUUCCGCAAUGGACGCAAGUCUGACGGAGCAACGCCGCGUGAGUGAAGAAGGUUUUCGGAUCGUAAAGCUCUGUUGUUAAGGAAGAACGUUCAUGGUAGUAACUGGCCAUGAAGUGACGGUACUUAACCAGAAAGCCACGGCUAACUACGUGCCAGCAGCCGCGGUAAUACGUAGGUGGCAAGCGUUAUCCGGAAUUAUUGGGCGUAAAGCGCGCGUAGGCGGCAAGAAAAGUCUGAUGUGAAAGCCCCCGGCUCAACCGGGGAGGGUCAUUGGAAACUGUUUUGCUUGAGUACAGAAGAGGAGAGUGGAAUUCCAUGUGUAGCGGUGAAAUGCGCAGAGAUAUGGAGGAACACCAGUGGCGAAGGCGGCUCUCUGGUCUGUAACUGACGCUGAUGUGCGAAAGCGUGGGGAUCAAACAGGAUUAGAUACCCUGGUAGUCCACGCCGUAAACGAUGAGUGCUAAGUGUUAGGGGGUUUCCGCCCCUUAGUGCUGCAGCAAACGCAUUAAGCACUCCGCCUGGGGAGUACGACCGCAAGGUUGAAACUCAAAGGAAUUGACGGA